Molecule: ribosomal RNA, 505 nt
Filed under: uncultured bacterium
Lineage: Bacteria
Description: partial 16S ribosomal RNA
Rfam family: Bacterial small subunit ribosomal RNA
Source: RNAcentral
GACGAACGCUGGCGGCGUGCCUAAUACAUGCAAGUAGAACGCACAGUUUAUACCGUAGCUUGCUACACCAUAGACUGUGAGUUGCGAACGGGUGAGUAACGCGUAGGUAACCUGCCUGGUAGCGGGGGAUAACUAUUGGAAACGAUAGCUAAUACCGCAUAAUAUUGAUUAUUGCAUGAUAAUUGAUUGAAAGAUGCUAUUGCAUCACUACCAGAUGGACCUGCGUUGUAUUAGCUAGUAGGUGAGGUAACGGCUCACCUAGGCGACGAUACAUAGCCGACCUGAGAGGGUGAUCGGCCACACUGGGACUGAGACACGGCCCAGACUCCUACGGGAGGCAGCAGUAGGGAAUCUUCGGCAAUGGACGAAAGUCUGACCGAGCAACGCCGCGGGAGUGAAGAAGGGUUUCGGAUCGUAAAGCUCUGUUGUAAGAGAAGAACGGGUGUGAGAGUGGAAAGUUCACACUGUGACGGUAUCUUACCAGAAAGGGACGGCUAACUACGUG